GAACAGUGCCAAGUAAGUAAUUUUGAAGCCUAGUGGUUCUUAUUGAUUUUGGACGUGUUCAAAGGUAAAUCAUGGACACAGUGAAAAUUAGUAAAAAAAACUAGCUAUACACUCAUCUUCCUUUUAAAUACCCCCUACAUAACACAUACAGAAGGACCCUUUUCUGAUUUCAGACUUGCCUUCUACUCAUCAUAAUCUGUAUCUGUAUUGAUCAGUCUAAUGAUUGAUGUAGAGUAAUGGAGCACAUCUGCUUUGUUGUUAGAUUAUGAUUAUGUUGGUUAACUUGCUUACUUUUUUGAUUGCUACUUCGGUAGAUUUUGAAAUGUUUCCCAGUUUUUUUCUGUUGCAUGUGAUGUGAAAAUCCUCCAUGAAUGUUGAGGGGUUCUGUUAUUGUUGAUAAAGGACAGCAACCUUGGCCAGUGGGACCUGCACCACAGCCUAACAUUCCACAUGGAUCAGAGUUGAGAGCAGAUCCCUCACCAAAGACAAGAGCACCCCACUAACCUGCUCUCCUUCCUGGGCUGCGGUCAUUGUCAACUGAAGGUUUGUUCACUCUGAUAUCUUUAAAAAGAACACAAGUUUUUAAGGUAAGCCUCUGGAAAUUCAGAAUAUUUUUUUCUGGUGUGUUCUUGGUAGGGUAGGAACAAGGCUCUGCUGGAGCAGACACAGCAGGCGAGGAGUAGGAGCAGGCUCUGACGCGCAUCUCGCCAGCCUACGGGCAACAGACGUCCACCAUGCCACACCAACACAGUCCAUUAUGAAGGCACAAGUGUAUUAACCAGUGUCUGCCAUAGGGCCAGUUUGAUGUAAUUCUCUUAAAUGUUAUAUAAAUGACGUUUUGCAUUAAAUGUUGCUCUUCAUUCUGAGAGAGACGCUCACUUUUGGAGUGAAUACUUCUGGAGCGUA
This is a long non-coding RNA of Electrophorus electricus (electric eel), 906 nucleotides long. The record is from Ensembl. Lineage: Eukaryota; Metazoa; Chordata; Actinopteri; Gymnotiformes; Gymnotidae.